GUGCAGGAUGUCUCAGGCAUUUUUUAAACAGGCACUACAGUUCAUCAGAUCCAUGUGAGGCAUUAAGAUGAGUGAACGACAUGAUGAAUGGAAUAUGAGGGAGCAGUGUGUAGGACAUGGAUCACAGAUAAGCAGAAUCCAGGCAGGGCGCCUAAUGCAAAGCAGUGAGAGACAGACAGAAACAUUAUCCAAAUGAGGUUGAUGGAUUAAAAGCAAGCAGUGUUUUCAUGCAAAAUCCUGGUCUUGAAAUUGUAGUGCUCACUCGGGGGAGCAGUAUCGGCCGGCAAAGAGAACACUCAUGGUGGAGUUAUGACGGAUGAAGAAGAGGAAGGGAUGGUCUGCUAUGAAGGUGGUGGGAAUCGUGAUGGAGCAGUUCGAGGCGAUGGCGCCGGUGGCAGCAGCAGCCUCGGUUCUCUCCUCGUUCUGCAAAAUAAACUGCUACAGUGAACUUUGAUGGUUGUCGGGUUGACCAUUCUUGGGCCUGGGAAGAGCAGGGGCUCUAAACAUGUUAUGGCCAGGUUUCCCCUAGACUAGGGAUGUAACAAUUUCAUUUCAUUUAAAUAAAAUCUGAUUUCUGAAAAAUGUGCAGUGGCCUCCUAUAGUUUCAUAGUUAUAACUAUGGAAAUGUUCUUAAAAACCACAAGUCUGAUGGUUUCAAUCAUUGCCAAAAUGGAACCAAUUGUUCUUUGGAUCAUGGCAAAUCUAUCCACCAUAUUUCAUUGAAAUCUGUUCACAAAUUGGCAAACAAUAAGGCAUGGGCACACUGUUGA
Long non-coding RNA from Thunnus maccoyii (southern bluefin tuna), 770 nucleotides. RefSeq lists it as uncharacterized. The record is from RefSeq and is a predicted model, not a curated record. Lineage: Eukaryota; Metazoa; Chordata; Actinopteri; Scombriformes; Scombridae. The transcript has 3 exons.